GACGAACGCUGGCGGCGUGCUUAACACAUGCAAGUCGAACGAUGAUCAGGAGCUUGCUCCUGUGAUUAGUGGCGAACGGGUGAGUAACACGUGAGUAACCUGCCCCUGACUCUGGGAUAAGCGUUGGAAACGACGUCUAAUACUGGAUACGACUGCCGGCCGCAUGGUCUGGUGGUGGAAAGAUUUUUUGGUUGGGGAUGGACUCGCGGCCUAUCAGCUUGUUGGUGAGGUAAUGGCUCACCACGGCGACGACGGGUAGCCGGCCUGAGAGGGUGACCGGCCACACUGGGCCUGAGACACGGCCCAGACUCCUACGGGAGGCAGCAGUGGGGAAUAUUGCACAAUGGGCGAAAGCCUGGUGCAGCAACGCCGCGUGAGGGAUGACGGCCUUCGGGUUGUAAACCUCUUUUAGUAGGGAAGAAGCGAAAGUGACGGUACCUGCAGAAAAAGCACCGGCUAACUACGUGCCAGCAGCCGCCGUAA
RNAcentral lists this ribosomal RNA (483 nucleotides) under uncultured bacterium. RNAcentral describes it as "partial 16S ribosomal RNA". It matches the Rfam family "Bacterial small subunit ribosomal RNA", at positions 28 to 523 of the family's 1533-position model. The record is from RNAcentral.